AUUGAACGCUGGCGGAAUGCUAUACACAUGCAAGUCGAACGGCAGCACGGACUUCGGUCUGGUGGCGAGUGGCGAACGGGUGAGUAAUGUAUCGGAACGUGCCCAGUCGUGGGGGAUAACGUAGUGAAAAUUACGCUAAUGCCGCAUACGAUCUAUGGAUGAAAGCGGGGGAUCGCAAGACCUCGCGCGAUUGGAGCGGCCGAUAUCAGAUUAGGUAGUUGGUGGGGUAAAGGCCCACCAAGCCACCGAUCUGUCGCUGGUCUGAGAGGACGACCAGCCACACUGGAACUGAGACACGGUCCAGACUCCUACGGGAGGCAGCAGUGGGGAAUUUUGGACAAUGGGCGAAAGCCUGAUCCAGCCAUUCCGCGUGAAGGAUGAAGGCCCUCGGGUUGUAAACUGCUUUUGUACAGAACGAAAAGGUUUCUACUAAUACUAGGAGCUCAUGACGGUACUGUAAGAAUAAGCACCGGCUAACUACGUGCCAGCAGCCGCCGUAA
This 500-nucleotide ribosomal RNA is filed under the name uncultured bacterium. Its description in RNAcentral is "partial 16S ribosomal RNA". It matches the Rfam family "Bacterial small subunit ribosomal RNA", at positions 30 to 523 of the family's 1533-position model. The record is from RNAcentral.